RNAcentral lists this ribosomal RNA (524 nucleotides) under Mazzaella leptorhynchos. Its description in RNAcentral is "partial 18S ribosomal RNA". It matches the Rfam family "Eukaryotic small subunit ribosomal RNA", at positions 622 to 1163 of the family's 1831-position model. Lineage: Eukaryota; Rhodophyta; Florideophyceae; Gigartinales; Gigartinaceae. The record is from RNAcentral.
UUAAACGCUCGUAGUCGGAGGUUGGCGGGCAGUCCAGGGCGUCCUCACGGACGGAUYUGGAUCUGGCCGCCUUUGUGGAKGGGGGCCCAGBGGAGCUUCACUGCGUCACUGUGGUCGCUGCCACCGUUUACUGUGAAAAAAUUAGAGUGUUCAAAGCAGGCGUUUGCCAUGAAUACAUUAGCRUGGAAUAAUAGAAUARGACCUGUUUCCUGUUUUGUUGGUUUGUGAGGAUCGGGUAAUGAUUAAGAGGGACGGUUGGGGGCAUUUGUWUUCCGGCGUCAGAGGUGAAAUUCUUGGAUUGGCGGAAGACAAACGGCUGCRAAAGCGUCUGCCAAGGACGUUUUCAUUDAUCAAGAACGAAAGUAAGGGGAUCGAAGACGAUCAGAUACCGUCGUAGUCUUUACUAUAAACGAUGAGGACUGGGGAUCGGGUAGGACUGUAUUUUGKCCUACCCKGCMCCCUUCGGGAAACCAAAGUDUUUKCUUUCUGGGRGGAGUAUGGUCGCAAGGCUGAAACUAAAGGAA